RNAcentral lists this long non-coding RNA (588 nucleotides) under Triticum aestivum (bread wheat). RNAcentral's name for it is "long non-coding RNA (TAES_LNC021438)". The record is from RNAcentral. Lineage: Eukaryota; Viridiplantae; Streptophyta; Magnoliopsida; Poales; Poaceae.
CGAACCGCAGGUCAGUUUUGCACAGGUGAGCUUUUUCUUCAUCGUUUACUCAUCUUUGCAUUGUAACCUGAGCUCAUCCCUUGAUUCGUGGCAAAUCAGGGCAGGCAUGUCUUCAUGGUGCUUGCGGAGGAGCAGGGCUGCUGAGGAAAAGUGGUGGUUGGGGAGGAGGACGCCCUUGUCCUUGCCCUUGUCCUUGUCCUGUGUUGCUCUGUGCAUGGUCGUUGAAGGCGAGGACAACCUGUGACUCCUCGUGACAAGGAAAUUUCCUCCAUCCCCUCUCUUCCUCUCAUGCACUGUUGCCGCUCCUCAACUAUGUUUUUCUCUCCUGAUUUUUGGAAGUACCUGAUUGGCUGGGUGCUUUGAAUAUGUAUCAUUUUCUGUGAUUAGUAUUAGCAGCUUCAUUAGGGGCAGUCUAUUUUAACUCCACUUUCUAAACUGAACUGAAUAAAUCCAUUUGAGUUUGUCUAUUUCUGAAUUUAUUGUAAUGGCAUGCCUUCAGUUUGUGUUGCACAUUAGGAAGAAGAGACCUGGGCAGCGUGCUUUACAUGGGUGGCGUCACCAUGACCAGAUUAAUGAUUCAAGCCCAAG